GUGCUUGCUUUGGCAGCACAUAUAUUGAAAUUGGAACAAGACAGAGAAUAUCAGAAUGAGCCCUAUCAAGGAUGACACACAAAUUUAUGAAGCAUCCCAUAUUUUU
Molecule: small nuclear RNA, 106 nt
Organism: Psammomys obesus (fat sand rat)
Lineage: Eukaryota; Metazoa; Chordata; Mammalia; Rodentia; Muridae
Source: RefSeq, a predicted model, not a curated record